Non-coding RNA from Hordeum vulgare subsp. vulgare (domesticated barley), 124 nucleotides. Lineage: Eukaryota; Viridiplantae; Streptophyta; Magnoliopsida; Poales; Poaceae. The record is from Rfam.
AUCAUACUUCCUUCGUCCGAAAAUACUUGUCCUAAAAAUGGAUAUAAUGGAUAUAUCUAUAACUAAAAUAAGUCCAGAUUCAUUCAUUUCUAUGACAAGUAUUUUCAGACGGAGGGAGUACAAA